GCUGAGGGAAAGGGGUGGUUGUUAGAAGGGCUGGGGAUUAUCUCAGGACAGGGCUUCAGCAGCAAUAGUUUGGUAAGGAGCUUCUUGAAGAAUGGACCCAGAGGCCUGGCUAGGAGAGUUGAGGGCUAAGACACAAACCAACAAAAGCAGGAAUACUCGGAGUUUUAGGAGAAGGACUCUGACAUGCUGUAUUAGAUAGAAGGCAGUAUCAAUGGGAAUGACCAGCAAAGAUUUAAAGAAAAUUUCAAUGCCUAAGGCUGGGAGAAGAUAGGAUA
Long non-coding RNA from Mauremys mutica (yellowpond turtle), 275 nucleotides. RefSeq lists it as uncharacterized. The record is from RefSeq and is a predicted model, not a curated record. NCBI's taxonomy places the organism in Eukaryota, Metazoa, Chordata, Testudines, Geoemydidae. The transcript has 3 exons.